CACGCCUCUUAAGAUGUUUUGAACGUGUUUAAACUUUGAAAAAACAAUAUUUAAUAAACAACUGAUUGAAUCACAUUAUUGCUAGCCUAUUGUGAGGCUGUCCACCCCUCUCCCUUAGUGUAGAUAAUAUCGUUUGUUACAAAAAAUAAAAAAUUAUUUGACAACAAGUUUAAUGUAAUUUAAUCACAUUUUAUCCGCGUGCGAAAGACAUUUCUUAUAACCGGUAUUACACGCCUCUUAAGAUGUUUUAAACGUGUUUAAAAAUCAAGAAAAUAAUAUUUAAUAAACAACUGAUUGAAUCACAUUAUUGUUAGCCUAUUGUGAGGUUAAGCUCACCCACUUCUCCUUAGUGUAGAUAAUAUCGUUUGUAAAAUAAAAAAAAAAAAAAAAACAAUCAUCUAACAACUAAUUUAAUCACAUUAUUAUCCGCGUGUGGAAGAUUUUUUUUUUAAACCGGCACUACACGCUUCUUAAGAUGUUUUGAACAUGUUAAAAAUAGAGAAAAUAAUACUUAAUAAAUUAUUGAUUGAAUCACAUUAUUGCUAGCCUAUUAUGAGGUUAAGCUCACCCCUUCUCCUUAGUGUAGAUAAUAUCGUUUGUAAAAAAAAAUAAAAAAUAAAAAGUAAAAAAAAACAAUCAUCUGACACUAGGCCUGGCAAUUCCUAACACGAUCCGAUAACCCCA
RNAcentral lists this long non-coding RNA (684 nucleotides) under Malus domestica (apple). Its description in RNAcentral is "long non-coding RNA (MDOM_LNC012266)". Lineage: Eukaryota; Viridiplantae; Streptophyta; Magnoliopsida; Rosales; Rosaceae. The record is from RNAcentral.